This 483-nucleotide ribosomal RNA is filed under the name uncultured bacterium. Its description in RNAcentral is "partial 16S ribosomal RNA". It matches the Rfam family "Bacterial small subunit ribosomal RNA", at positions 30 to 506 of the family's 1533-position model. The record is from RNAcentral.
AUUGAACGCUGGCGGCAGGCCUAACACAUGCAAGUCGAGCGGAUGAAGGGAGCUUGCUCCUGGAUUCAGCGGCGGACGGGUGAGUAAUGCCUAGGAAUCUGCCUGGUAGUGGGGGAUAACGUCCGGAAACGGGCGCUAAUACCGCAUACGUCCUGAGGGAGAAAGUGGGGGAUCUUCGGACCUCACGCUAUCAGAUGAGCCUAGGUCGGAUUAGCUAGUUGGUGGGGUAAAGGCCUACCAAGGCGACGAUCCGUAACUGGUCUGAGAGGAUGAUCAGUCACACUGGAACUGAGACACGGUCCAGACUCCUACGGGAGGCAGCAGUGGGGAAUAUUGGACAAGGGGCGAAAGCCUGAUCCAGCCAUGCCGCGUGUGUGAAGAAGGUCUUCGGAUUGUAAAGCACUUUAAGUUGGGAGGAAGGGCAGUAAGUUAAUACCUUGCUGUUUGGACGUGACCAACAGAAUAAGCACCGGCGAACUUCGU